Molecule: ribosomal RNA, 542 nt
Filed under: Bifidobacterium adolescentis
Lineage: Bacteria; Bacillati; Actinomycetota; Actinomycetes; Bifidobacteriales; Bifidobacteriaceae
Description: partial 16S ribosomal RNA
Rfam family: Bacterial small subunit ribosomal RNA
Source: RNAcentral
GGUGGUAAUGCCGGAUGCUCCAGUUGACCGCAUGGUCCUCUGGGAAAGCUUUUGCGGUAUGGGAUGGGGUCGCGUCCUAUCAGCUUGAUGGCGGGGUAACGGCCCACCAUGGCUUCGACGGGUAGCCGGCCUGAGAGGGCGACCGGCCACAUUGGGACUGAGAUACGGCCCAGACUCCUACGGGAGGCAGCAGUGGGGAAUAUUGCACAAUGGGCGCAAGCCUGAUGCAGCGACGCCGCGUGCGGGAUGACGGCCUUCGGGUUGUAAACCGCUUUUGACUGGGAGCAAGCCCUUCGGGGUGAGUGUACCUUUCGAAUAAGCACCGGCUAACUACGUGCCAGCAGCCGCGGUAAUACGUAGGGUGCAAGCGUUAUCCGGAAUUAUUGGGCGUAAAGGGCUCGUAGGCGGUUCGUCGCGUCCGGUGUGAAAGUCCAUCGCUUAACGGUGGAUCCGCGCCGGGUACGGGCGGGCUUGAGUGCGGUAGGGGAGACUGGAAUUCCCGGUGUAACGGUGGAAUGUGUAGAUAUCGGAAAAGAACACCA